This 648-nucleotide ribosomal RNA is filed under the name Salmonella enterica subsp. enterica serovar Bovismorbificans. RNAcentral describes it as "partial 23S ribosomal RNA". It matches the Rfam family "Bacterial large subunit ribosomal RNA", at positions 1 to 682 of the family's 2925-position model. Lineage: Bacteria; Pseudomonadati; Pseudomonadota; Gammaproteobacteria; Enterobacterales; Enterobacteriaceae. The record is from RNAcentral.
GGGUUGUGAGGUUAAGCGACUAAGCGUACACGGUGGAUGCCCUGGCAGUCAGAGGCGAUGAAGGGCGUGCUAAUCUGCGAUAAGCGCCGGUAAGGUGAUAUGAACCGUUAUAACCGGCGAUACCCGAAUGGGGAAACCCAGUGUGACUCGUCACACUAUCAUUAACUGAAUCCAUAGGUUAAUGAGGCGAACCGGGGGAACUGAAACAUCUAAGUACCCCGAGGAAAAGAAAUCAACCGAGAUUCCCCCAGUAGCGGCGAGCGAACGGGGAGGAGCCCAGAGCCUGAAUCAGCAUGUGUGUUAGUGGAAGCGUCUGGAAAGGCGCGCGAUACAGGGUGACAGCCCCGUACACAAAAGCGCAUGUGCUGUGAGCUCGAUGAGUAGGGCGGGACACGUGGUAUCCUGUCUGAAUAUGGGGGGACCAUCCUCCAAGGCUAAAUACUCCUGACUGACCGAUAGUGAACCAGUACCGUGAGGGAAAGGCGAAAAGAACCCCGGCGAGGGGAGUGAAAAAGAACCUGAAACCGUGUACGUACAAGCAGUGGGAGCACCCUUUUGGGUGUGACUGCGUACCUUUUGUAUAAUGGGUCAGCGACUUAUAUUCUGUAGCAAGGUUAACCGUAUAGGGGAGCCGUAGGGAAACCGAGU